This 775-nucleotide long non-coding RNA is filed under the name Gallus gallus (chicken). The record is from RNAcentral. Lineage: Eukaryota; Metazoa; Chordata; Aves; Galliformes; Phasianidae.
CUUUGUCAGUGACAUCCACAGGCUCUUACUACCAUAUUCCUGUAUUUCUUCAAGAUUACAUUAGAAUUAUCAUCGAAAUAAAGAACUGAUAUGGCAUUUAGUUUGGUAGGUGCACAGCAUGGUUUGGGAACGUAAUCAGGAUUCAUAAGAUGAACCUGUUGUCGAAAAGAAAACAUAAUUGAUACGAUGGUAACUCACUCACAAACUCACCUAUGGCUUUAGCACAGGUCUUGCUGGAGACUUACUUACCAGAGUUUGGACGAUGGCGUGGUUGGUUGCGUUCAUAUGUGCAUUGAGUGGAAAGGAGCACUCCCCAUCACAGUAGUUGGCUGCAUAGCCCUUUGGAGCGAUUAUCCAGUCCUGCCAUCCCAAGUCUUGGAAGCUAACGUAAAGUUCAUGCUUUCUGCACGCGGUUUUUAAGUCACUGCUGUUGUAAUCUGUUAGGAUAAAAAAGAACAAAACAGGGAUUUAGAAAGUUAAAGAGGCAGAGGAUCACUGGAGCACACAGCUGGGCAGAUGUGCGCACUGCAGAGAAGAGUGCUGACGGACAGCCAAAGCAGGGCUGAGAUUUUUAAGAUACCUAUGGGAAUGGUGGCACCCGCGUAACAGUGACUGGCUUAGAACUCCUUCAACCUCCCUUAAAAACCCGACAAGCGGUGCUCGUAAAACACCUCUGCUUAAAUCAUUUCUUAAAAAUAAAUCUCUGCUCCAUCACCCAGCACGUGCCACAUCCCUGCUGCUGCUCGUGUUUCCAAUGCACGCUUCCCCAGGGUAC